Molecule: ribosomal RNA, 478 nt
Filed under: uncultured bacterium
Lineage: Bacteria
Description: partial 16S ribosomal RNA
Rfam family: Bacterial small subunit ribosomal RNA
Source: RNAcentral
GACGAACGCUGGCGGCGUGCUUAACACAUGCAAGUUGAGCGAUGAAAUCCCUUCGGGGACGAAUUAGCGGAGGACGGGUGAGUAACACGUGGGUAACCUGUCUCACAGAGGGGGAUCGCCUCCCGAAAGGGAGUUUAAUACCGAAUAACAUUAGUUUUUCGCAUGGAGAACUAAUUAAAGAGGUAAUACGCUUUAAGAUGGACACGCGGCCCAUUAGCUAGUUGGUGAGGUAACGGCUAACCAAGGCGACGAUGCGUAGCCGGCCUGAGAGGGUGAUCGGCCACAUUGGAACUGAGACACGGUCCAGACUGCUACGGGAGGCAGCAGUGGGGAAUAUUGGACAAUGGGCGAAAGCCUGAUGCAGCAACGCCGCGUGAGUGAUGAAGGCCUUCGGGUUGUAAACUUCUGUCUUUUGGGAAGAUAAUGACGGUACCAAAAGAGGAAGCCACGGCUAACUACGUGCCAGCCGCCGCCGUAA